RNAcentral lists this ribosomal RNA (459 nucleotides) under uncultured bacterium. RNAcentral describes it as "bacterial SSU rRNA". It matches the Rfam family "Bacterial small subunit ribosomal RNA", at positions 15 to 518 of the family's 1533-position model. The record is from RNAcentral.
GAUCCUGGCUACAGAACGAACGCUGGCGGCAGGCCUAACACAUGCAAGUCGAGCGCGCCCUUCGGGGUGAGCGGCGGACGGGUUAGUAACGCGUGGGAACGUACCCUUUGGUAGGGAAUAGCCACUGGAAACGGUGAGUAAUACCCUAUGAGCCCUUCGGGGGAAAGAUUUAUCGCCAAAGGAUCGGCCCGCGUUAGAUUAGGUAGUUGGUGGGGUAAUGGCCUACCAAGCCUACGAUCUAUAGCUGGUUUUAGAGGAUGAUCAGCAACACUGGGACUGAGACACGGCCCAGACUCCUACGGGAGGCAGCAGUGGGGAAUCUUGGACAAUGGGGGCAACCCUGAAUCCAGCCAUGCCGCGUGAGUGAAGAAGGCCUUAGGGUCGUAAAGCUCUUUCGCCUGUGAAGAUAAUGACGGUAGCAGGUAAAGAAACCCCGGCUAACUCCGUGCCAGCCGCAGC